GAGGGUGUAGCUCAGUGGUAGAGCACUGGCCUAACAUGCAUCAGACCCUGGGUUCGAACCCCAGCACUAUCA
This 72-nucleotide transfer RNA is filed under the name Fukomys damarensis (Damara mole-rat). It matches the Rfam family "tRNA". Rfam says of the family: Transfer RNA (tRNA) molecules are approximately 80 nucleotides in length. Their secondary structure includes four short double-helical elements and three loops (D, anti-codon, and T loops). The record is from Rfam by way of RNAcentral. Lineage: Eukaryota; Metazoa; Chordata; Mammalia; Rodentia; Bathyergidae.